GUCAGGGGUGAGGGAGAGGAUGUCACAUCCUCUGCUAUCCUAGGAAAUUCCUCCCAGGAGGGGGCAGCGUUUGAGCGUGCAAGGGAAGGGUUUCAGGGGGAAGGUUCGGCUAGGAAUAGCUUUGUGCGUGAGGACAUGGCCGGUGGGGCGCGGCAAGAAGGUCCCUGUAGAGGCUCAGAGGGCCCAGCUUGCCAUCUUGGAGCACACCGGACUCCAGCCACUGCCUGGUGACAUGCCGAGGCAAGGUGGCUGGACCUGCGAGUCCCCAAGGUCCGUGUCCAGAGCAGGGCCCACUGGAGUCAGCCAAGGUGUGGCCCACGAGGGCUGGCAGCGUGGUCACCCCCAUCAACAGACAAGACCACAGACAGAUGCUACACUUGCAGCAGCCUUUACCUCACCCCUCCACGGAGUUGAUUAUAGAUUUCUUUACCCUGCUC
Long non-coding RNA from Chinchilla lanigera (long-tailed chinchilla), 437 nucleotides. RefSeq lists it as uncharacterized. The transcript has 2 exons. Lineage: Eukaryota; Metazoa; Chordata; Mammalia; Rodentia; Chinchillidae. The record is from RefSeq and is a predicted model, not a curated record.